ACCUUAUAUAGAUGUAGCCACGCAAGACAGUGGUGCAUCUCCCUGUAAGGUGGUGUUUCAAUAGAAGUAUAAACGACAAGCCUUAUUGCCUAGCUUUUGAGUUGAAAUAAGGUGAGUUUAUAUGGAAGAGGUUAACCGUAAGACCUUAAGUUGAAAAACUUUAAAUUGGAUCUAAAAGUCGAAUUUCUUAAUUUUCGCACUUUUUAGUUACGGUGGU
RNAcentral lists this non-coding RNA (217 nucleotides) under unclassified sequences. RNAcentral describes it as "IS605-orfB-I RNA". It matches the Rfam family "IS605-orfB-I RNA". The record is from Rfam by way of RNAcentral.